UACGGAGGGUGCAAGCGUUAUCCGGAUUCACUGGGUUUAAAGGGUGCGUAGGUGGGCAGUUAAGUCAGUGGUGAAAUCCUGUAGCUUAACUACAGAACUGCCAUUGAUACUAUUUGUCUUGAAUACCCUGGAGGUGAGCGGAAUAUGUCAUGUAGCGGUGAAAUGCUUAGAUAUGACAUAGAACAUCUAUUGCGAAGGCAGCUCACUACGGGAAUAUUGACGCUGAGGCACGAAAGCGUGGGGAUCAAACAGG
This 253-nucleotide ribosomal RNA is filed under the name uncultured bacterium. RNAcentral's name for it is "partial 16S ribosomal RNA". It matches the Rfam family "Bacterial small subunit ribosomal RNA", at positions 524 to 776 of the family's 1533-position model. The record is from RNAcentral.